UCCCAAAUCAGUAGUUAAUUCAUCGCCCAUAAUAUUUUGAGCAUUCAGAAACACACAAAGGGAAGUGCACUAGCAACUUCCUAACAACAAUGGCUACCAAGAUAUUAGCCCUCCUUGCGCUCCUUUCCCUUUUAGUGAGCGCAACAACUGCAUUCAUUAUUCCACAAUGCUCACUUGCUCCUAAUGCCAUUAUUCCAUAGUUCCUCCCAUCAAUUACAUCAAUGGGCAUCGAACACCCUGUUGUGCAAGCCUAUAGGCUACAACAAGCGCUUGCGGCGAACGUCUUACAACAACCGUUUGCCCAAUUACAACAACAAUCCUUGGCACAUCUAACCAUACAAAACAUCGCAAUGCAACAACAACAACAUUUUGUGCCAGCACUGAGCCAACUAGCCACGGUGAACCCUGCCGCCUACUUGCAACAGCAACUGCUUGCAUCCAACCCACUUGCUCUGGCAAACAUAGCUGCUUACCAGCAACAACUACAGUUGCAACAGUUUCUGCCAGCUCUCAGUCAACUAGCCAUGGUGAACCCUGCCACAUACCUGCAACAGCAACAACUGCUUUCAUCUAGCCCACUCGCUGUGGGCAAUGUGGCUACAUACCUGCAACAACAGCUGCUACAACAGAUCGUACCAGCUCUCAGUCAGCUAGCUGUGGCGAACCCUGCUGCCUACUUGCAGUAGCUUCUUCCAUUCAACCAACUAGCUGUGGAAAACACUGCUGUAUACCUGCAACAACGACAACAACUACUUAGUCCACUAGUAGUGGCUAACCCAUUGGUCGCAGCCUUCCUGCAACAACAACAAUUUCUGCCAUAAAACCAGAUCUCUUUGAUGAACCCUGCCUUGUCAUGGCAUCAACCGAUCGUUGGAGGUGCCAUCUUUUAGAUUACAAAUGAGAUGUACUUGAUAACAUUGCCCUCAUACCGGCAUGUGCAACUUCCUAUAAAUAAUCAAUAUAUUGAUUGAGAUUUAUCUUGAUCUUUUCUUAACUAUGUUCAUCAUUUA
This is an RNA transcript of Zea mays, 1010 nucleotides long. It is a transcript of the gene named alpha zein pseudogene, with no coding region annotated. The transcript has a single exon. NCBI's taxonomy places the organism in Eukaryota, Viridiplantae, Streptophyta, Magnoliopsida, Poales, Poaceae. The record is from RefSeq and is marked validated.